Paramuricea clavata is the source of this 1077-nucleotide non-coding RNA. The record is from the annotation of a GenBank genome assembly. NCBI's taxonomy places the organism in Eukaryota, Metazoa, Cnidaria, Anthozoa, Malacalcyonacea, Plexauridae.
CUAAUUUUGUGAUGCUCUUUCAAGCUGUAAUGAAAUUUUUGUUGAGAUCAAAAUUUAGUCUAUUACGCAAAUGGUCAAUUGUGAAUGAUUUGCACACACGAUUUUUCGGAACUUUUCAAGCUCUGUGACAUGAAUAGCUUCUAUAUAAAGGUUGCAGUGGCGAAGCAUUGGAACCGAAACGGCCUGUGGUUGUCUGUGGUUCUACGUUCGUCCAAUGGCAAUGCCGCGUAAAAAUAGCCAUAACGCUUCAUGCAUUAAUUAUAUCCUUGAGAUUAGUACCGUAAUUAAUUAAAUAUAGUCUAUAUAAUUUAUCAAUGAAUGAAUGUCUGUCAUUUUAUUACAACAACUUGCGCGUUUUUACAUGUAUAGAGUUAAGACACCUCGCGCAAUUGUGAAUGAUUUGCACACACGAUUUUUCAGAACUUUUCAAGCUCUGUGACAUGAAUAGCUUCUAUAUAAAGGUUGUAGUGGCCGAAACGGCCUGUGGUUGUCUGUGGUUCUACGUUCGUCCAAUGGCAAUGCCGCGUAAAAAUAGCCAUAACGCUUCAUGCAUUAAUUAUAUCCUUGAGAUUAGUACCGUAAUUAAUUAAAUAUAGUCUAUAUAAUUUAUCAAUGAAUGAAUGUCUGUCAUUUUAUUACAACAACUUGCGCGUUUUUACAUGUAUAGAGUUAAGACACCUCGCGCAAUUGUGAAUGAUUUGCACACACGAUUUUUCAGAACUUUUCAAGCUCUGUGACAUGAAUAGCUUCUAUAUAAAGGUUGUAGUGGCCGAAACGGCCUGUGGUUGUCUGUGGUUCUACGUUCGUCCAAUGGCAAUGCCGCGUAAAAAUAGCCAUAACGCUUCAUGCAUUAAUUAUAUCCUUGAGAUUGGUAUCGUAAUUAAUUAAAUAUAGUUUAUAUAAUUUAUCAAUGAAUGAAUGUCUGUCUUUUAUUAGAAGUUGAAUUUUAUAAUAUACUGAAAUCACACGCUGAUUAUUUGAGAAUCGUUUUUACGAACUAUUAUAUUUUAGAUAUAUUAUUAUUUAGAAAGAAAUACUGAAUGAUUAAAAUCCCUAAAAAUGUUACCAAAAUUUUAC